GUGAAGGAACAGAGUCAAGCGGGUAUCCUCCUGGCAGCCUGUUGAGUCGCAUCAAGAUUUCAGGUACCGUGAGGAGGCGCAUAGCUGAAGUUUGGAAACGGCAGC
This is a long non-coding RNA of Vidua macroura (Pin-tailed whydah), 105 nucleotides long. RefSeq lists it as uncharacterized. Lineage: Eukaryota; Metazoa; Chordata; Aves; Passeriformes; Viduidae. The record is from RefSeq and is a predicted model, not a curated record. The transcript has 3 exons.